RNAcentral lists this ribosomal RNA (429 nucleotides) under Fusobacteriota bacterium. RNAcentral describes it as "Fusobacteria bacterium partial 16S ribosomal RNA". It matches the Rfam family "Bacterial small subunit ribosomal RNA", at positions 355 to 776 of the family's 1533-position model. Lineage: Bacteria; Fusobacteriati; Fusobacteriota. The record is from RNAcentral.
UGGGGAAUAUUGCGCAAUGGGCGAAAGCCUGACGCAGCGACGCCGCGUGAGGGAUGAAGGUUUUCGGAUCGUAAACCUCUGUCAGAAGGGAAGAAACCGCACUGUGCUAAUCAGCAGUGCCUUGCCGGUACCUUCAAAGGAAGCACCGGCUAACUCCGUGCCAGCAGCCGCGGUAAUACGGAGGGUGCAAGCGUUAAUCGGAAUUACUGGGCGUAAAGCGCACGUAGGCUGCUUUGUAAGUCAGGGGUGAAAUCCCACGGCUCAACCGUGGAACUGACUUUGAUACUGCUUAGCUUGAAUCCGGGAGAGGGUGGCGGAAUUCCAGGUGUAGGAGUGAAAUCCGUAGAUAUCUGGAGGAACAUCAGUGGCGAAGGCGGCCACCUGGACCGGUAUUGACGCUGAGGUGCGAAAGCGUGGGGAGCAAACAGG